Long non-coding RNA from Erinaceus europaeus (western European hedgehog), 437 nucleotides. RefSeq lists it as uncharacterized. The record is from RefSeq and is a predicted model, not a curated record. Lineage: Eukaryota; Metazoa; Chordata; Mammalia; Eulipotyphla; Erinaceidae. The transcript has 2 exons.
CACUGGCACAUGUGAUGGCAGGGAUUGAAUUUCGGACCUUAUGUUUCAGAGUUCAAUGCUUUACCCACUAAGAAACCUCCUGCGGUGCACCAUACUUUUUUUUUUAAUAAAGUAUCUUUAUUUAAGAUUUCCAGAAAGCAACUAAAAUAGUUUCUCUCUCUUUUUUAAUGUUUUCCCUUUUUUAAAAUUGCCACCAGGAUUAUCUCUGGACUCAAUAAUGGCACUACAAAUUCACCACUCCUGGCAGCCAUCUUUCACUCUUUUUUUUUUUUUUCUUUUCUAUUUGAUAAGACAGAUAGAGAUUGAGAGGAGAGGAGGAAAUACAGAGGGAAAGAAAGACACUUGAAGCGCUGAUUCACCAUUUGUGAAGCAUCCCCAGUGCAGCACCAGAGAAUGAAUUCAAAGCCAUACACAAGUAAAAGAGAUGCCACAGCUAA